Long non-coding RNA from Gambusia affinis (western mosquitofish), 813 nucleotides. RefSeq lists it as uncharacterized. NCBI's taxonomy places the organism in Eukaryota, Metazoa, Chordata, Actinopteri, Cyprinodontiformes, Poeciliidae. The transcript is spliced from 2 exons. The record is from RefSeq and is a predicted model, not a curated record.
CUCCUUUGCGCCCGUUCUUCCUCUUCGGCUCCUGAAGGUGUUCGUCCGUGAGGCGGCGGCGUUACUCAGAUUCUGACCUUGAGAGGAACCAGCCCAGCUGUCACAACGCAUUUUUACUGAGCAUCACAGUCCAUAUGUCUUAGUCAGGAGUGGAACACCACAUGCCCCAGUUGAUGCUGGAUGACCUCCCUGGUCGCCAACCUUACAGUUCAGUCACAAAAGCCAGCUCCUUGCAAAGAAGACGCCCCCUCGACCCAUUACAGGUGGUGGCAUCAGAACGCCUCUGGCUAAGAUAACAUUACUGGUGAAGAAUGACACCCACUCCAUUCAUGAAGUUGUUGCAGACCUGGAGAGCUCCUUCAUUUACAGAUUGCUGCAUCUCCGGUGCACAGAAAGUAGUGUUAUCGUAGAUCCUUCUGCCCAGCAGCUAAUGGACUCUAUAACCAUAACUGUUCCCAUAAAAUUUAAUAGGUGUUUAUAUUUCUGCUUUUUGCACAGUUUUUUAUUGUCACAUAUUGUAAACAGUCUUUUGUUUUUAAUGGACAGAUACAUUAAAAACAAAUGCACAUGUAAACAUUGUGCAUUUCUUAAAUGAUCCUACUCAGUUGCAGAUUUCUUUGGAUCAAAGUUUGUUUUUUGAAAAAUAUUUUAUGAUGUAAUUUAACCUUUACUGUACAGUGUGUUAUUCUUAAUUAUGUUUUUACAAAUUUUAUAUUUACAUCUUUGUGUGAAUGUAUAUGCGUUGAUACUUUGUUGCACCUGAAUUUGCCCACUUAAGGAAAAUUUAUAAUAAAAUAUAACAUUUCUAUUCUA